UACAGAGGGGGCAAGCGUUGUUCGGAAUUACUGGGCGUAAAGGGCGCGUAGGCGGCCCGCUAAGUCGAACGUGAAAUCCCCGAGCUCAACUCGGGAACUGCGUCCGAUACUGGCGGGCUUGAAUCCGGGAGAGGGAUGCGGAAUUCCAGGUGUAGCGGUGAAAUGCGUAGAUAUCAGGAGGAACACCGGUGGUGCAAACGGCUUUCUGGACCGUAACUGACGCUGAGACACGAAAGCGUGGGGAGCAAACAGG
Molecule: ribosomal RNA, 253 nt
Filed under: uncultured bacterium
Lineage: Bacteria
Description: partial 16S ribosomal RNA
Rfam family: Bacterial small subunit ribosomal RNA
Source: RNAcentral